Molecule: ribosomal RNA, 253 nt
Filed under: uncultured bacterium
Lineage: Bacteria
Description: partial 16S ribosomal RNA
Rfam family: Bacterial small subunit ribosomal RNA
Source: RNAcentral
UACGUAGGUGGCGAGCGUUGUCCGGAUUUAUUGGGCGUAAAGAGCGUGUAGGCGGCCAGGUAGGUCUGCUGUGAAAACUCGAGGCUUAACCUCGAGCUGUCGGCGGAAACCAUCUGGCUAGAGUCCGGAAGAGGAGAAUGGAAUUCCCGGUGUAGCGGUGAAAUGCGCAGAUAUCGGGAAGAACACCCGUGGCGAAGGCGGUUCUCUGGGACGGUACUGACGCUGAGACGCGAAAGCGUGGGGAGCGAACAGG